Molecule: ribosomal RNA, 197 nt
Filed under: uncultured bacterium
Lineage: Bacteria
Description: partial 16S ribosomal RNA
Rfam family: Bacterial small subunit ribosomal RNA
Source: RNAcentral
GGCUGAAAUUCGCCUUCAUGAAGCUGGAAUUGCUAGUAAUGGCAGGUCAGCAUACUGCCGUGAAUACGUUCCCGGGCCUUGUACACACCGCCCGUCACACCAUGAGAGUUGGGUAUACCCGAAGCCUGUGAGCUAACUUAUAGAGGCAGCAGUCGAAGGUAGAAUCAAUGAUUGGGGUGAAGUCGUAACAAGGUACC